Molecule: long non-coding RNA, 3282 nt
Filed under: Daphnia pulex (common water flea)
Lineage: Eukaryota; Metazoa; Arthropoda; Branchiopoda; Diplostraca; Daphniidae
Description: uncharacterized LOC124199331, transcript variant X1
Source: RNAcentral
AAUAGGUAAAGAAUCUUGUGGUACCAAAUUGGAAGUUUCCUGUGAUGAAGGUACUGGUGUACCUUGUUGAAGUCCUAGUUUCAUCCAAUUAGAACUCGGGAAUUGGGCUCUCUCCUAACGGGUACAAUCCAUUCUAUAAUUGGUCGGAAAUUAUAAUGGCAAGCAACACCAUUGGCUCGGGUAUCCAUUUUGGAAAAUGGUGUCCGUAAGGCGCGUUUCGUGUCAGAUGUUUUCCAAUUUAAUAAAAUUUCAGAUGGAUGAGAUCAACCCGACUACUUCGUCUGAAAAUAUGUGACCUAAACUGAUGUAGGAUUCGAAUAUGGUAAUAAAUUUAUGUUGGAUAAAAACACAACUGAUAAACGGGUUGUUUCAAUUUUGGGUAGAUAUUGCAUGAAUGGAGUUACACAAAGCGUUGUUGUUAUGAAUGAAGUUAAAUUAACUUGUGUAAAUCUGUUAUGAAUGAAGUUAAAUUAACUUGUGUAAAUCUGUUCAGACAUGCUCUGGGUGGUAUGUGGUUAUAAAAUUUAAUUCCUGAAUCAAUAAGUUAUAUUUCAAGAAUAAAUAUAAUCUUUAUUUAUUAUAAAAAUCACUAAAUAUUAAACUGGCUUUCUUGUCAUCAAGUAAACUUAGUCUUAUUUCUCAUAUGAAAAAUGCAAAUCUAGAUAUAGUGUCGGGCAGUCACACGCUGAUAUUCCGCACUGCUGAUAUUUUUGCGUUUCUUUGAAAUUUUUCAGGUUUUUCCCCAGUAUUUUGGUAAUAAAUAAAUUUGUCUAGGGAAUCAACUACGGUAUUGGUCUUCAGGAUUUGGCAUUUAUUUUGUGCUUUAUAGUUCGUAAUUGAUAUUAGUUCGCACUUUACAUCAAAUUAAACUGUGUUCGCAUACUUCCGGUAUUAUUUAUUGAGCAAAUUGUGAAGACAUUGUUACACGGAUUGUUAUUGACAAGCUACGAAAAAGCGUAAAGGUGAUGGCGCCAUUAGAACGCUGCUGUGGCUCAAUUAAAAAACCUAGUCAACACAUUGACAUUUAGCGUCGAAUUAUUGGGAGCAGAUUUCACUUGACGUGAUUGCGUUACUUUUUUUUUUUUUUUGGUUAAAUUGCGUCCAUUUUGUCGUCGGAGCUUGGGUUAUUUGUCUGCUGGGUGAUAUAACUAGUUGAUGGAUAUAUCUGUUGAAGUUUGCUGAAACAUUUUGGCUAAAAAUCCCAUCAUAUUUUGUUUUCCGAUUGUUCACCCAUCUUGGGGCGAUCAAUUGAUUUAUAUUUUUCAGCCUCUCUAAAAAUGUAAAGUAUACGUCAUAGGUUUAUUCGUUGAUCGAUGGUGCACUUAAUGACACUAAAAGAGCUUAGUUCGACACAGAUCGGUGCUCAUUAAUUUAUUCAUUUGUGCAUUAAUUCGACGUUACACUGGAGAGCAUUGAAAUGCUAAUUAAGUUAAAUUGCUGAUACAUUUUCUGGUAAUGAGUUUUAGUAAAUCCGUAAACAGUCGCUUCAAUAUUUUUCUACGAUUUGAAACUGCAUAUGAAACAAAUGGUGCAGUGACGUUAUUGCUGUAUCCGUAUCGUGUUCUUUUGUUCCCAUCAAUUUCCUCUCUACUGAUAUCCGACGGCAAAUGCGAGACGCCAUUGUUGUCGUUAACUUUUCAAAAAGCGUUGAUGCUAGGUUAGGAUAGGAGAGAAGUUAACUGUGCAAUUUCCUCAAAGUUGAAAUUCCGCAUUUUACGUAAUAAAAGGGUUUCAGUGCAGUUUACGGGUCGUAAUCGGGCAGUGAAGUCAUGCAGUGCGAGUUUUGACAGUUUCGGUAGUUUUGGUUAAGAUUCAAUUCAACUUCCGCCAAAGAUGGCUAAUAACAAAAUCGGUAGCAACAGCAGCAGAUAAAGUGAAGGAAAAUCAACUGGAAAUGGAAGUGAAGUCGCAGAGCCAAAAAAGACGUUAGCCUCCAGUAAAUUUAUUCGACUGGGGACAAUCGUCUGGGCUAAGCUGGAUGGCUGGACUUGGUGGCCCGGGAUCGUUGUUACUCAUGACUGUGGGCUGCCUCCGAGAAAACCGACUAGUUACUGGAUAUUUUGGUUCGGCGGCCACCAGACUGUGUCCGAGGAAGUUAAAACAGAUGCCGGCGGAAAAACUAAGCGGUUUUCUAUAUGACAAUUUGGCCAGGCUGUUAAAUCAAGCUUACAACAGCGCCUCUAUGAAAGAGGAGUGUUGGAAGCCCUGCUGGUUUAAUACGACAACAAAUUUGUAUUCCAAUUCUUGACAUCAAACGUAUUUAAUUUUUUAAAAUCCACAGGCACUCGCCUUUAUUAGAGAUCAGACGAAAUUAGUUAAAGGCACGGCUGACAAAUUGAAAACGUGGGCCAUAAAACUCUUGGCGUCGUCAAAGAGCAACAACAGUCGAGAUGUGGUCUUGGACGAGUUCCCGGAAUGGCUGCAACGUUCCAUCGAUCGGAUCAAAAACACACAAUACCAAGUUGAACAGGAUCGCCAGCGAGAUUUUCGUUUCUUUAUUACGUUUCUACAGAUGAAACCAAUCAGCACAUUUGACAUGAAGGAUGCUCAAGGCUCGGCCAAACAUCGUCUGGUGUUGACUAACGUUCCGGAACAGAAUUUCAAUCCGCAAUUGGACGAGAAAGUCAUCAACAACGACCAUUCGGUUCGUCCAUUUCCAAUCUUCCGCUCAGCCGACAGCCUUUUUUCAUCAAAUACCCUGGGAUUCUUGAAGAUAUCGUGGCCAUAAACCAACCUCUACCAGCCAACUAAACACGACCGGAUGCUUUUCCAGCGCGAUAUCCGAAGCAAGACGAAAACAAUUAAAGCUCCAGCCUAUUUGGAGCCAUGUAUGACUUGAUGGCCAGCUGACUCAGAAAACGGCCAAGAAGAAGAGGAAAUUGAGCAGCGAUCUCCGCCCGUGUUGGAAACUUUGCGAAGCCGUCGGCCGUGCUGACGAGGACAGCGACGGAAUAAGUGACGAAACGGGCCAUUAAUCGCUGAUCUCACGGAUCACGCCACUUACGCCCGCCCCGAGCCGUUUCCGGAGUAUGUGUCGCAUUUCGAAGAGCUGAAGUGCAAGAACGAUUAAAUAAUCGUAGUUUACCAGCAGUGUCGUUGUGGAUUCACAUUUUUCAACCGAUGGUCCGUGUCGUUGGUCCAAAAUAAGCCCGAGGGCGCCCGAGGGUUUUUUAUUGACUCUUCCGAUCAGUAUAUGUUUCUCACCUUAUUUUGUUUUGUAAUCAAUAAUUUAAACUUAAAAAAUCGUGACUGUUCUCUGGAAAAAGAAUAAAAGUUUUUGGC